CCUACGGGAGGCUGCAGUGGGGAAUAUUGGACAAUGGGGGCAACCCUGAUCCAGCCAUGCCGCGUGUGUGAAGAAGGCCCUCGGGUUGUAAAGCACUUUCAGUGAGGAAGAACGCCUGGUGGUUAAUACCCAUCAGGAAAGACAUCACUCACAGAAGAAGCACCGGCUAACUCCGUGCCAGCAGCCGCGGUAAUACGGAGGGUGCGAGCGUUAAUCGGAAUUACUGGGCGUAAAGCGCGCGUAGGUGGCUUGAUAAGCCGGUUGUGAAAGCCCCGGGCUCAACCUGGGAACGGCAUCCGGAACUGUCAAGCUAGAGUGCAGGAGAGGACGGUAGAAUUCCCGGUGUAGCGGUGAAAUGCGUAGUGAUCGGGAGGAAUACCAGUGGCGAAGGCGGCCUUCUGGACUGACACUGACACUGAGGUGCGAAAGCGUGGGUAGCAAACAGGAUUAGAUACCCUUGUAGUC
RNAcentral lists this ribosomal RNA (465 nucleotides) under Vreelandella stevensii. RNAcentral describes it as "partial 16S ribosomal RNA". It matches the Rfam family "Bacterial small subunit ribosomal RNA", at positions 338 to 795 of the family's 1533-position model. The record is from RNAcentral. Lineage: Bacteria; Pseudomonadati; Pseudomonadota; Gammaproteobacteria; Oceanospirillales; Halomonadaceae.